AUUGAACGCUGGCGGCAUGCUUUACACAUGCAAGUCGAACGGCAGCACGGGUGCUUGCACCUGGUGGCGAGUGGCGGACGGGUGAGUAAUGCAUCGGAACGUGUCCUGAAGUGGGGGAUAACGCAUCGAAAGAUGUGCUAAUACCGCAUAUUCUCUGAGGAGGAAAGUAGGGGAUCGAAAGACCUUAUGCUUUUGGAGCGGCCGAUGUCUGAUUAGCUAGUUGGUAGGGUAAUGGCUUACCAAGGCGACGAUCAGUAGUUGGUCUGAGAGGACGACCAGCCACACUGGGACUGAGACACGGCCCAGACUCCUACGGGAGGCAGCAGUGGGGAAUUUUGGACAAUGGGCGCAAGCCUGAUCCAGCAAUGCCGCGUGAGUGAAGAAGGCCUUCGGGUUGUAAGACGUCUUUCAGUUGAGAAGAAAAGUACGUGACUAAUAAUACAUGAUUCAUGACGGUAUCAACAGAAGAAGACACCGG
Molecule: ribosomal RNA, 478 nt
Filed under: uncultured bacterium
Lineage: Bacteria
Description: bacterial SSU rRNA
Rfam family: Bacterial small subunit ribosomal RNA
Source: RNAcentral